AGAUUUUUCUAAAAGAUUACUAAGAUUUACGAAAAAUGGUUAAAAAUUGACUAUAAAGGGCAAUAACUCCUUAAGGGGUCAACUGACCAUUUCGGUCAUGUUGACUUAUUUGUAAAUCUUACUUUGCUGAACAUUAUUGCUGUUUAUAGUUUAUCUCUAUCUAUAAUAAUAUUCAAGAUAAUAACCAAAAACAGCAAAAUUUCCAUAAAAUUACAAAUUCAGUGGCAGCAACCCAUCAACGGGUUGUCCGAUUCAUCUGAAAAUUUCUGGGCAGAUAGAUCUUGACCUGAUAAACAAUUUUACCCCUGUCAGAUUUGCUCUAAAUGCUUUGGUUUUUGAGUUAUAAGCCAAAAACUGCAUUUUACCCCUAUGUUCUAUUUUUAGCCAUGGCGGCCAUCUUGGUUGGUUGGCGGGGUCACCGGACACAUUUUUUAAACUAGAUACCCCAAUGAUGAUUGUGGCCAAGUUUGAUUAAAUUUGGCUUAGUAGUUUCAGAGGAGAAGAUUUUUGUAAAAGUUAACGACGACGGACGCAGGACGACGACGGACGCCGGACGCAAAGUGAUGGGAAAAGCUCACUUGGCCCUUCGGGCCAGGUGAGCUAAAAAAUGACAAAAAAUAUUCAAAACUUUGAUAAAAUUUUUUUGCAAAAUUAUAAAUUUGUAUUGGGAUUCCUUUUUUUUUUUUAUACAAAAAAGCUUCUGUCAUGUUUGUCCAUUUUUUAAAAUCCAUAAAUGUGUGACACAGUAAUGGAUGUAUGAAAAACUUUAACGUUGAACUGUAUCUUAAUGCUAACUGCUAAUUUUACAACAAACUCAAAAUUACUCAAAACAUAAAAUUUCUUACAAAGAAAAAAGCACUUAUAUGCAAGUUAUACACACAUAUUCAAACUCUCUCACAGGAAGAAAUAACACGAGUCAUAAUUUUUAAUAUAUUUUCCUCUUUAAUCUAAUAAUAUAGAGAGCUAACCUCUUGUAAUAAAAGUAUUUAUGGAUUUAUAACUCCUGUUGCUGCUGUUAUUACAUUUCAUGUUUUUAAGAUUCAGUAGUUCUGAGGCUUUUUCACAAAAAAUUCUUGUCACAAAAAAAAAAUCUUAAAGACAAAAAUUGAUCAAAUGCUUUAUUGAAUAGUUUAUCACAUAAUUUUUUUGUAAGAUUUUUUUGUGAAAUGAGUCCCUGAAUAUAUAAACAAAAAUAUCUAUAUAACAUAAAAUAGCAACAAGAUCUAAAAUAAAAACAGGAUUUAACACACAAUGAGAAAAUUUACAUGAUAAACGAGAGGCUUAAGAGACAGGAUAUGCAUAUUUAUACCAAAAGUCAUACUUUUUGGUACAAAUGGAAAAUAAUCACUGGUAUGGGUAUUUGCAUACUGAACACUCAAAAGUAAGCCUAAAUGGAAAGGCAGACAAUACCCCUCAUAAACAUCUCUGCUUAAGGAUGUUCGCUACUCUGUUAAAAAAUAACAAGCUUUUUAAAAGACUAUUAUGAAUUGAUAGUAUAUUAAUAAAGAAACUCAAAAAGUAGAAAAAAAUGGAUGGUCCGUGUGCUCAUUAAUGAGAUAUAAGCCAUUGAAAAUUUGGCGGGAAAUAAUUCUCACUAGAAUUUUCAUAUAUUUAACAUUGGCACCUUAUUUGUUUCAAAAACUAUGAAAAAAUAACAAGAAUUUUAUAAAAUUUUGAAAAAUGGCUUCUUAAACUUUAU
RNAcentral lists this long non-coding RNA (1699 nucleotides) under Mytilus galloprovincialis (Mediterranean mussel). The record is from RNAcentral. Lineage: Eukaryota; Metazoa; Mollusca; Bivalvia; Mytilida; Mytilidae.